CUCUUUUGCUUGUCCUCAAGAAAAAACAAUGAGCAGUCUCUCUGAAAGGUGUUUUUGAAACAACAGGGACUCACAUAAAUUAAGAAAUUACUAUCAUCACCUCAACAGUAUUGCAACCACAUCAAAUAGAUCUUAACUUAGAAGUACUUCUAAUGCAAUAUCCUAGCUGAGCAACCAAUUCCAUUCAUCCAACAACUUAACUAAUCAUGUUUGACUAACAUCUCUACUGAC
This 231-nucleotide long non-coding RNA is filed under the name Brassica napus (rape). RNAcentral's name for it is "long non-coding RNA (BNAP_LNC000886)". Lineage: Eukaryota; Viridiplantae; Streptophyta; Magnoliopsida; Brassicales; Brassicaceae. The record is from RNAcentral.